GCUUUCCUGUGGCUCAGUUGGUAGACCAUUGUGAUAUCAACGCAAAGGUCAUGGGUUCAAAUCCCAGGGAAAGCA
This 75-nucleotide transfer RNA is filed under the name Danionella cerebrum. RNAcentral describes it as "tRNA-Asp". It matches the Rfam family "tRNA". Rfam says of the family: Transfer RNA (tRNA) molecules are approximately 80 nucleotides in length. Their secondary structure includes four short double-helical elements and three loops (D, anti-codon, and T loops). Lineage: Eukaryota; Metazoa; Chordata; Actinopteri; Cypriniformes; Danionidae. The record is from RNAcentral.